Acanthosepion pharaonis is the source of this 113-nucleotide non-coding RNA. The record is from the annotation of a GenBank genome assembly. Lineage: Eukaryota; Metazoa; Mollusca; Cephalopoda; Sepiida; Sepiidae.
UACGGCAACAUCACGUUGAAACACUGGUUCCCGUACGAUCAACCAAUUUAAGCAACGUCGAGCUUGAUCAGUAUGUAGAUGGGUGACCGCUUGAGCAUAUCGGGUGCUGUAAG